This 249-nucleotide ribosomal RNA is filed under the name uncultured bacterium. RNAcentral describes it as "partial 16S ribosomal RNA". It matches the Rfam family "Bacterial small subunit ribosomal RNA", at positions 796 to 1041 of the family's 1533-position model. The record is from RNAcentral.
CACGCCGUAAACGAUGCGAACUAGGUAUUGGGAUUUUCGACCGUCUUGAUACCGAAGCUAACGCGUUAAGUUCGCCGCCUGGGGAGUACGAGCGCAAGCUUAAAACUCAAAGGAAUUGGCGGGGGCUCGCACAAGCGGUGGAACAUGGGGUUUAAUUCGAUAGUAAGCGGAAAACCUCACCAAGGUUUGACAUCUACGGAAUCCUGCAGAAAUGCGGGAGUGCCCUUCGGGGAACCGUAAGACAGGUGC